RNAcentral lists this long non-coding RNA (2807 nucleotides) under Sorghum bicolor (sorghum). RNAcentral's name for it is "long non-coding RNA (SBIC_LNC012021)". The record is from RNAcentral. Lineage: Eukaryota; Viridiplantae; Streptophyta; Magnoliopsida; Poales; Poaceae.
AGCACCGAGUCAGGUGUGGAGAGAGAAGAUAGUUAUACACGAAGAGGAGGCACCGCCGGAACCACCGACUACGCCAUCCAGCGAAUCCCAGGACGACUGAGAAAAUGGAGAGUCCCGUUCGGAGGACUUAAAAACACCGAACGCCUUGCCAAGAGGUAAACUUGGUAGUUAUCCUUUUCCUUUCAAUUAUUCAACUAUAGUUUGCUUAGUUAAUCAGGUUCAGGCUAUCUUGAAAAGAAAAUACAAAUGUUAAAAAUAGUAAGCCCCAAAUGAGUAUGCUCAUGUCAUAAAACCCAUAAGUACAUUCACUGUGGUGGCAUAAAAUAAAUAUAUUCCUAUCCUAUAAAAAUAAGAAUAUAAAAAUAAAUUUAUGAUCCUACUAAAGAGAGUAACAUUUAUUGAGGAGGCUCAACAUGAUAAAGGCUAGAUAUUUUAUGCUAACACUUAACCAGUUCCACAAAGCUUUGUUGUCUAUUUGAGCUCCACAGAAUUCAAGGAUCAAAGAAGACUAGCAGACGGAGGACAUCCUAAUCGCUGUCAGGGUGCUGCCGACAUUCAAAUACACCUCCGCCACCUGCUAGCUACAUCAGAAGAAAUUACGUCAAAAUCCAGCUUGGGGGAGAGCACCCACAUUUAUCCAGCUAAGUGUUUCUACUCGCGUUUAUACUUUACUCAAAUAAUAAAAAGAUGCAUAAUCAUAAAAACCCAAAUAAAGAUUUAUGUGCUUAUAUAUAUCUCCGCUUAGUUUGCUAAAUAAAUAAAUAAAGUGUCUAGGCCAAACUGAACCCUCAUGAUAAGCUCUCACAUGGAAAUAAUGAAUAGUUGCUCUGCCAUGACUAGUUCUAAAAAUUGAAAUCUCUCUCAAGUUUAGGCAUGACUGUUAUGAAUUAAGAUUUGUUCUAACCCUGAACUUGUGGGAAGAGUACUUGAUCUAAACUCUAAGUCGUUAACGGAUAAGAUAUGGAAAGGUUGAGCUGCUAUUUAUCUGUUCCUAGAGAUGCUAGAAUUCUGGAGAAUUUUAUCUUUGAAAAUCUUUAAAAUAACACAUGAUGAGUUCCAUUAUGAUGAGAGUUUAAAUUCCUACCACAGCCAUAUAUACAUGCUUGCUAGACUUUGAGCCACACAUUUACUUUUUACUGCUUAUGAGCAUUGAGUGUGGUCAAGCUGUGUAGACCCUUAGGAGCUUGUCAUGUAGUUAAAAUCAAGAUUCACUUGCACGUUCCCUCACGAUAUUGCUUCUACACCAGAAGUACGCAUCCACAUAUAUCCACUCAUUUUCAUCUCCAGAGCCACCUAAAAGUAUUCUUCUCCUAAUCCGGGAGAGAAUAGCCAAAAACAUUUCCCUAUUUCUGUUUUCCCCUAUGAAAUAAAUGCUCGAGUUAUCUUGGUUACUACCGCUUGCUAUAUUAUUUCAGGAGAUGGGUGCUCUGAAAAAAAAGAAGAAAAGGAAAAAUACGAGGAAAUAAAAAGGGGCAAGUGCCUGGAACCUCGAAGAAAAGAAAAAGUGAGACGAGAGGUAAAAAUGGACAAGUGUCUGACAGUAGAAUUAGGGGUACAAGAUACCCACCUGAGAGAAAAAGAAAAAGAAAAUGUAGAGCAUCUCAUUCUCCUCAAAAAGCUUCAAAGUGCAAGAAAGGUAUGUAUCCCCUCAAAAGAGCAAAUGUAGAAUUAGACUUUCACCAUUGCUUUCACCAUUAUCACCAUCAUCACCAUACAUCAUUCAUUCGCCACACAUGCACAUCUUGAUUUGACUUAUUGACUUGUUUCUCUAGAUCCAUGGUUUGACUAUGCAAUAAAUGUCUUGUAAGUAUGUAUUAGCUGUCUCCCACCUAUGAGCUCUAGAUAUCCAAACCUUAUUAGAGUAGGAUGAGAGAGAAAGCAAUAUCACUGUGCCUCAUACCAAAAACACCACAUACUUUGAGAGAAGGCAUACACCAUUACUGCCUUGGAAAGGAUCUAGAAAUACCAUAAAAGAGAGAUUUGAGAAAGUCAUACAAGGAAUCUCUGAGUUUUAUUUGAAAAUCUGCAAAAAAACUCUAGAGCUAUAGCUGAUCAAGAAUAAGAGACAUGGCGCUUGACUUGACCGUUCUACUUUUAACUGCUCAAGACACAAGUGACAGUUGCAAGCCCCAUGGUGAAAGAAACUCUUGAGUUCAUCCUUGCUCAGGGACGAGCAAGAGGUAAGCUUGGGGGAGUUAUUGAUGGUCCUUAAGUACCAAAUAUAAUCAUCAAGUAAAUAAAGAAAAGGAUCCAAAUGCAACCAACACCCAGACUUAGGGUUUUAUCUGACAGAAUUCUAUGAGUUUUGGUGUUUGUCUAUUUCUAUAGGGGGUUAUCAGGAAAUACGGAAGAAAGGCCCACACGUCGGGUUUACAUAGAGAUAUUAACGUGCCAUGCAAUUUUCUGUCAUCUAGAAGACUCCAGAAGCCACGGGAACGAACGGGAAAGCGAACGGGCCUGGGGGCAGGGCGCCCGCCCUCCCCCCUUGGGCGCCCGCCCUGUCCCAGAGUCCAAUCAGGCCUCUCUUUAGGGAUUACGCUCCACCGACCUAAAGGAUCAAGGAUAACCGUUCAAUCAAUGUCGGUUUGAUCUGACGGCCCAUAUUCACUUGGAGGGACUAUAUAACCAGACCCCCAGCCCCUGGAGGAGAACAAGUUCAUCAUAGAGUUGAGAGGAGCCCUCGAAGGAAUACCUCUCCUCUAAAUAAAAUUUCUUUUAGGCUUAGCAUCCAAUGUGAGUAGAGUUAGAUCUUCUAGUUUCUACUAGAUUGAGAGAGAUAGGGUGGAGGUGUAGAUCGGAGGAAGCCC